Molecule: ribosomal RNA, 463 nt
Filed under: uncultured bacterium
Lineage: Bacteria
Description: partial 16S ribosomal RNA
Rfam family: Bacterial small subunit ribosomal RNA
Source: RNAcentral
GACGAACGCUGGCGGCGUGCUUAACACAUGCAAGUCGAACGGUGAACCUCUUCGUAGGUGAUCAGUGGCGAACGGGUGAGUAACACUUGGGCAACCUGCCCCCGGCUCUGGGAUAACUCCAAGAAAUUGGGGCUAAUACCGGUUGUUCAUCGCUUCCCGCAUUGGUGGUGUUGGAAAGGGUUUCCGGCUGGGGAUGGGCCCGCGGCCUAUCAGCUCGUUGGUGGGGUAGUGGCCUACCAAGGCGACGACGGGUAGCCGGCCUGAGAGGGUGACCGGCCACACUGGGACUGAGACACGGCCCAGACUCCUACGGGAGGCAGCAGUGGGGAAUAUUGCGCAAUGGGCGGAAGCCUGACGCAGCGACGCCGCGUGGGGGAUGACGGCCUUCGGGUUGUAAACCUCUUUCAGCAGGGAAGAAGCGCAAGUGACGGUACCUGCAGAGGAAGCACCGGCCAACUACGUG